UACGUAGGGUGCAAGCGUUAUCCGGAAUUAUUGGGCGUAAAGAGCUCGUAGGCGGUUUGUCGCGUCUGCUGUGAAAAUCCGGGGCUCAACCCCGGACUUGCAGUGGGUACGGGCAGACUAGAGUGUGGUAGGGGAGACUGGAAUUCCUGGUGUAGCGGUGAAAUGCGCAGAUAUCAGGAGGAACACCGAUGGCGAAGGCAGGUCUCUGGGCCACUACUGACGUGAGAAGCGAAAGCAUGGGGAGCGAACAGG
RNAcentral lists this ribosomal RNA (252 nucleotides) under uncultured bacterium. RNAcentral's name for it is "partial 16S ribosomal RNA". It matches the Rfam family "Bacterial small subunit ribosomal RNA", at positions 524 to 776 of the family's 1533-position model. The record is from RNAcentral.